RNAcentral lists this ribosomal RNA (537 nucleotides) under Symbiotaphrina kochii. RNAcentral describes it as "eukaryotic LSU rRNA". The stretch from base 173 to 326 matches the Rfam family "5.8S ribosomal RNA". Lineage: Eukaryota; Fungi; Ascomycota; Symbiotaphrinales; Symbiotaphrinaceae. The record is from RNAcentral.
UUGGCUCGAUUCUGACUCUCGGGGUCAUCUCCACCCUCUGUCUACCUACCUCUGUUGCUUUGGCAGUGGCCCGUGGCUCUCGCCACCGCCGGCUUCGGCUGGCCCGCGCCCGCCAGAGUCCUUAACCAAAACUCUGAUUACGUGUCGUCUGAGUAUAACUAAAAUGAAUCAAAACUUUCAACAACGGAUCUCUUGGUUCUGGCAUCGAUGAAAAACGCAGCGAAAUGCGAUAAGUAAUGUGAAUUGCAAAAUUCAGUGAAUCAUCGAAUCUUUGAACGCACAUUGCGCCCUUUGGUAUUCCGAAGGGCAUGCCUGUUCGAGCGUCAUUUACGGAUCAAGCUUCGUCUUGGUAUUGGGUCAUCGUCCGGUUAAGGGCGUACCUGAAAAUCAGUGGCGGUGCCCGUCCGGCUUCAAGCAUAGUAACUGUAUCUUGCUUUGGAAGUUCCGGCGGGUUCACCGGCCAGCAACCUCUUCUUUAACUAAGUUGACCUCGGAUCAGGUAGGGAUACCCGCUGAACUUAAGCAUAUCAAACGGGG